RNAcentral lists this ribosomal RNA (325 nucleotides) under uncultured eukaryote. RNAcentral describes it as "partial 18S ribosomal RNA". It matches the Rfam family "Eukaryotic small subunit ribosomal RNA", at positions 1470 to 1796 of the family's 1831-position model. The record is from RNAcentral.
CCCUUAGAUGUUCUGGGCCGCACGCGCGCUACACUGAUGCAUUCAACGAGUCUAAAACCUGCUCUGAUAGGGGUGGGUAAUCUUUUGAAUGUGCAUCGUGAUUGGGAUAGAUGAUUGAAAUUUUUCAUCUUCAACGAGGAAUGCCUAGUAAACGCAAGUCAUCAGCUUGCAUUGAUUACGUCCCUGCCCUUUGUACACACCGCCCGUCGCUCCUACCGAUUGAAUGUUUCGGUGAAGAUUCCGGAUAGGACUGAUUUGAUUUAUUUCAUUUCUGACCUAAAAGCUAUCUAAACCUCAACAUUUAGAGGAAGGUGAAGUCGUAACA